This 454-nucleotide ribosomal RNA is filed under the name uncultured bacterium. RNAcentral describes it as "partial 16S ribosomal RNA". It matches the Rfam family "Bacterial small subunit ribosomal RNA", at positions 28 to 507 of the family's 1533-position model. The record is from RNAcentral.
GAUGAACGCUGACAGCAUGCUUAACACAUGCAAGUCAACUUGAACUUCGGUUUGGGUGGCGGACGGGUGAGUAACGCGUAAAGAACUUGCCUCACAGAUAGGGACAACAUUUGGAAACGAAUGCUAAUACCUGAUAUUAUGAUUAUAUGGCAUCGUAUAAUUAUGAAAGCUAUAUGCGCUGUGAGAGAGCUUUGCGUCCCAUUAGCUAGUUGGAGAGGUAACGGCUCACCAAGGCGAUGAUGGGUAGCCGGCCUGAGAGGGUGAUCGGCCACAAGGGGACUGAGACACGGCCCUUACUCCUACGGGAGGCAGCAGUGGGGAAUAUUGGACAAUGGACCAAGAGUCUGAUCCAGCAAUUCUGUGUGCACGAUGAAGUUUUUCGGAAUGUAAAGUGCUUUCAGUUGGGAAGAAAAAAAUGACGGUGCCAACAGAAGAAGUGACGGCUAAAUACGUG